GACCUCGUAGCUCGGCUGGUUGAGCGUGCGCUGUACAAAAGCUUAAAUGAUGUCCAUGUGUGGGUUCGAAUCCCACCGAGGCUA
Molecule: transfer RNA, 84 nt
Filed under: Echinostoma caproni
Lineage: Eukaryota; Metazoa; Platyhelminthes; Trematoda; Plagiorchiida; Echinostomatidae
Rfam family: tRNA
About the family: Transfer RNA (tRNA) molecules are approximately 80 nucleotides in length. Their secondary structure includes four short double-helical elements and three loops (D, anti-codon, and T loops). Further hydrogen bonds mediate the characteristic L-shaped molecular structure. tRNAs have two regions of fundamental functional importance: the anti-codon, which is responsible for specific mRNA codon recognition, and the 3' end, to which the tRNAs corresponding amino acid is attached (by aminoacyl-tRNA synthetases). tRNAs cope with the degeneracy of the genetic code in two manners: having more than one tRNA (with a specific anti-codon) for a particular amino acid; and 'wobble' base-pairing, i.e. permitting non-standard base-pairing at the 3rd anti-codon position.
Source: Rfam by way of RNAcentral